AUCACCCCAUCUGUCCAUCCAUUCCUUUCUCCUUUGUUCUGUCUGUCCAUCCUUCCAUCCAUCUGUCCAUUCAUCCAGCUGUUCAUCUGUCCAUUGAUCUGUCCAUCCAUCCAUUCAUAAGUCUGUCCAUCUGUCCAUCUGUCCAUUGGCCUGUCCAUCCACCCAUCCAACCUAUUGACAACUAUGAGAUCACAGUCCUACCUCUGUUUUCAAACCAACACCACAGGGCACAUCUGGUUUUCUCUCUGUGUGGUUGUAAGCCCUUUUUUUCUGAAUGGUUCCCAUUCUCCUUCGUCUGUGCUCUCACUUGAUUAGUUUUCUUGUAAAUACUCCUCUCCCAUCGCCGUUGCCACCCCCUCCCCACAGAGAUGCCCUUCUUACCCCGCAGGGGCGCCCUUUGGAUGCCUUCCAACUGCAAACCUCCAGGAAAGAGCUUUCUAGGUGGAGAGAUGGUACUGUCAGCCCUUUAAAAUUAGGAAUAGCAAAAUUGGAACCUGGCCAGCUCAUUACAACCAAAUAAGUUAAAAAAAGUAAACAUUAGAAGAAAUGUUUCUCUUUAUUCACAAAUAACAUGAUUGUCCAUAGAGAAAGGCUAAAAUUAUUAAACAGUAAGAAUUCAGCAAAAUGGCUUGCUAUAAGAUUAAUACACUGAAAUCAAUCGCUUUUCUAAACAUGAGCAGCAAAGUCUGAUAAGUUUCUUUUAAAAGAUACCAAAAAAAGUACUAUUUGCAUGAGAGUAAAAUCUUCAAGGUCCUUAAAGAUACAUUGAGCAAGAGAUGUUCAAGGCCAAUAUACAGAAAACUAAAAUGUCAUUCAAGUCCAGGAUUGUGGACUUGAGGGGAGCAUGCUGGGUAUCCAGUUGCCGCAUGGUGGCCUCGGACACUCUGUGCUUACCCGCUCGUGGCUCUGUAGGCCUGGCUUCGCUGGGCCCUCUUCACGGCAGGGCUGGGGCUUGCUCCACCUGGGUUCUCUGGGAAGAGCCCUCGCCUAUGCUUAUUCACGUCAUCAGCCGAAUUCUGUUUCCGAGGCGAAAGGGCUGAGGCUGUAGGUAAUAGCACUUGACAUGACCCCAUGUCCUUGUGGACUGUCCACGGAGGGCCGCUCUUAGGAACUGGAGGCUGCCUGUGUUCCCUGCCACGCGGCCCCCAAUCCUCAGUCAGCAACGGAGGACCUGCUGCAGAUCCCCAGGACGAGCCCUGACCUCUUACAGACUCACCUGGUUAGGUCAGGCCCACCAGGAUACUCACCCUUUCUUGAAGUCAGCUGUGUCGUCGAUUGGCACCCAACCCCAGGAGUGACUGUGGCAUCAUAGUCAUGGGUCCACCCACACCCGGUGGGAGGAGUGUAUACAAGGGUGAGGGUCACUGGGGGUCAUCUCAGAAUUCUGCCUACCACGGUUGUGCUGGGUCAUGGCCAGAAAGUUUAUAGUGUAAACAUGUCCGUCUUCUCCCAAUUAGUCCAUAGAUCUGUUAAAAUUCUAACAUAAUGCUGAUUUCUUCGACAAAGUUUGAUCAGCUGAUUGAAGAAUUUACAUGAAGCUUACAUGCAAAGGUAGCCGUGUCACUUCUAUAGGACACUAUGGUUGAGGACUGCGUUCUGCCGGCGUUCUGGACUCACGGUGAAGCUACGGUGACCAGGACGGCCUGACCCCGGUGCAGGGGCCAAUGGAGGGAUGGAAUGAAGAGCGCAGAAAUGCCAGCAGCGAGGGGCUGGGGCAGCUGGGAGGCCCCGUGCACCCCCGGGGGCCAGAGGGGCCUCGGUCCGCGUCCGCGUGGACUUUCUGCCGGGCGCCCGGCAGGUGCAGAGCCGUGGUGGCCGUGGCCGAGCUGGCAGCUGGAUGGGGUCCAGGACCUGGGCCGGGUCUGUCGCCGGGACCUGGGAGUGGGGUCUCAGCGAGCAGUUUGGGGCCUUUCAUGUGGUCUCGUCCGCUCGGCACAGCAGGGAGGAAUCUUGUCUUUCACCUAAAUAGCCGGGUUUGGUUUUCUGCCUCAGAGAUAAUUGGUGGUUCUUACUACUAAAAGGUUAGAACAAUUCAUUGUUUUUCUAAAAAAAAAAAAAAAAAAGUGGAAGGCAGGCACACCGCACUGCUCUUAAAAAUUGAAGAAGGGGGCGUGGGGCUCCACAAUGCCCCUCACAUCAAAGUGGCAAGCAGACGCCACGGGCAGGGUGCGGGCAGCCCAACCCCAGCCCGCUGAUCGCACCGGGGGCCCCAGCCAUUCUGGUAACACAAUUGGAGCCGCACCAGGGCGGCAGGCCCACACCUUUCAGGGACCUGGGCAGCUUGGCUGUUGCCCUGGGUUUGACAGCAGUUGGCUAAUCCGCAUCCGGGCCCCGGCAACACCUGUCGCCAGGUGAGCCAGACCCGCCUUACCCGCCUCCCUGGCCUUUCCUUUUCUCAGCUAAUGGGCAGGUGGACGGGGGCCCACUAGCACUGGGCUCGGUGGCGGAAGAGACCAUCCCGUAGCUGGAGGCAUGGGGCCAGCAGCUCUCAGAAUCCCCUGGAGGAGGCUUGUUCUAAUAGCGUGGGACACAGCCCAGGCGAUCUGAUUUGGGUGACUUGGGGUGGGGGGGGCUACGAACCUGCCGUUCUGAUACGUUCCUAGGGGAUGCUGCUGUGGGCCCAGAGACCAGGGCUGGAGAACAGACGGCUCAGGCAGAGUUAGCUUUUCUCCCUCCUGUUUGCUUGCUUUCCCCAUGGUUGCUGUUGGUGAAUUGUACAAUACUUUGCGGGGGCAGUUAUAGAAAGGACCCCUUUCUGAGUGGUCCCUUCUGGGCAGAGGAGUCAGGAAAGUUGCUGGCUUCUCUCCGGGCAGGCAGACUCCAGGCAGCAGUUGUCCUCCCUGCCGUCCCACCCCCUUUUCUGUUGCAUGGGUUCUGGGUCUGUGCGCAAACUGCACAACUGGACAUGGAGAACCUGGCUGGACCCCAAGCCAGAUGAGAGCCCUGCGCAGGCUUGGGGGAGUGGGUGUGGCGGGCAGGGACACCAACAAGGGCCCUGGUCCUGCCUCCAUGGGGGUCCCACCACCCUCCCCUAGCAACAUGACCCUACACUCGCUCUCCUUGCUGCUUCCUCGCCUGGUGGGGCAGUGGGUGUUUUCGUUCCUUCCUCUGCCAGGCACGGAUGUAAAGUGAGAUGAAAACAGAGAAGGCUGGGGCCAGGAGCAGGAGGGAGAGGCUGCACGUAUGCCCAGGGAGGACCCAUUCCUGCUGCCGGCCAGCGCGGGGCUCCCCGGCAGCCUUUAGGACAAAGGGAACAGGUUUCGGCCAGAGGAGGCCCCGGGCCGCUGGUUGGUGGGAGGCCCGGCUGGGUGGGGCUGGGACCCACAGCCUCGCUGUUGUCAUCCUGUUUCCAGGUCUCGUUGUGGGGGCCCCACGAUUGGAAAGGAGGUGGGGGGCUGCUGGCCCUGAGGGAGCUGAUGUGCUGACCCCAGUGCCUUUUCGAACCUCAGACCUGUGGUUCCAUCUCGGAGCUCCUUGAGCCCGUGCCGACAGGCGGCAAGGCGGAGUGUGCACCCAAAGCUGUCAUGAAAGCAGGUUCCCUCAGCCCUUCUGCUGUGCCAGGCUCGACAGAACCUUGGUUUUUAUCUGACAGGGCUGACGCACACCUUGCUCAGCACACAGCACGCGGUCCAGUCCGGCUCCCCGGCUUUCACGGCUGCCCCAGUUCGGAACAUGGAAGCACAGCGUACUCUGCUGGUAUGACGCUUGCUGCUGGAGACCCUUCAGACCCGUCUCCACACAGCUCCAUCACAGUGUCCUCUCGCCCCCGGCGUGACCCGCCUCUGGUCCCGGGAAGCCUCUGGCGGUCCUUGCCCCAUGGACUGGAGGCUGGGGUUGCUGCCCUGCUGUGCUGGCCUCGGUCACUGUCCCCAGCAGCCCUCGAGGUGACCCCGAGCCCGGCACGGCACGUCGUGUUGGCAGCUGGGGGGGCUGCACCACGGUGGUGAAAGCCCUACCCCUUCCCCCUCUGGGCACUUUCCGUCUCCUGGGAGUGAGAGGGCUUCCGCGUGGGGGGCUGGUUUUUAUCCGUUUCCUUGGUCACUUCUCUUCACGUCGGAAGGGCUCCAUCUUGGGAUGUCACGCCUCUUGUGUUCAGGCGGAAGGUCACUGGUAGCAUCCCGCUGCCGUGUGUUUGCUCGAACCUGUUGAUCUUUCCUCUCGAUGGCGCCAGCGUGGGUGGUUUGUCCCUUUGACUGCGUUGCGGUAUUUCAGACUCUCCUGCAAUGACUUCUACACUGAGAAAGGUGUUUAAGGGAAGAACAGGACGUCUACCAUGUGCCCCCAUAUGCCCUGGCAGGAAGUGGAUUGUGGGAAAAGUUGGCACGAGCUGCUUUAAAAUAACCCGGAAAGUUCUUGAUUGGACAGACGGUUGACAUUUGUCACCCUUGUGAUGCCAGGGGUCCUCGGGCAGCUGCCGAAUCUGUGGCCCCUUCUUAGAGAAAGGUCUUCGAGCUGUAACCUAAAACAUGUGGAAAUACAAGGAGAAUAAUUAUAUUGAAAAACUGCUAACACAAUAUUAAUAAAUCCAAAUGUGGGACAGAGGAGAUCCACAACCUGCCCCCAGUUUAAAGCAACAUUUUGAGAUGUGGGCACAGGUGGCCACGUGAUAGGAAGGCAGCUGUGAUUUCUGCUCAGGAAGGGCAGGAGGUCUCCUCGAUCCCUGGUUCGU
This is a long non-coding RNA of Callorhinus ursinus (northern fur seal), 4669 nucleotides long. RefSeq lists it as uncharacterized. Lineage: Eukaryota; Metazoa; Chordata; Mammalia; Carnivora; Otariidae. The record is from RefSeq and is a predicted model, not a curated record.